AGUGAACGCUGGCGGUAGGCCUAACACAUGCAAGUCGAACGGCAGCACAGUAAGAGCUUGCUCUUACGGGUGGCGAGUGGCGGACGGGUGAGGAAUACAUCGGAAUCUACUUUUUCGUGGGGGAUAACGUAGGGAAACUUACGCUAAUACCGCAUACGACCUACGGGUGAAAGCAGGGGAUCUUCGGACCUUGCGCGAUUGAAUGAGCCGAUGUCGGAUUAGCUAGUUGGCGGGGUAAAGGCCCACCAAGGCGACGAUCCGUAGCUGGUCUGAGAGGAUGAGCAGCCACACUAGAACUGAGACACGGUCCAGACUCCUACGGGAGGCAGCAGUGGGGAAUAUUGGACAAUGGGCGCAAGCCUGAUCCAGCCAUACCGCGUGGGUGAAGAAGGCCUUCGGGUUGUAAAGCCCUUUUGUUGGGAAAGAAAAGCAGCAGGUUAAUACCCCGCUGUUCUGACGGUACCCAAAGAAUAAGCACCGGCUAACUUCGUG
This 492-nucleotide ribosomal RNA is filed under the name uncultured bacterium. Its description in RNAcentral is "partial 16S ribosomal RNA". It matches the Rfam family "Bacterial small subunit ribosomal RNA", at positions 29 to 507 of the family's 1533-position model. The record is from RNAcentral.